This 639-nucleotide ribosomal RNA is filed under the name Nicomache lokii. RNAcentral's name for it is "eukaryotic LSU rRNA". It matches the Rfam family "Eukaryotic large subunit ribosomal RNA", at positions 355 to 821 of the family's 3401-position model. The record is from RNAcentral. Lineage: Eukaryota; Metazoa; Annelida; Polychaeta; Maldanidae.
GAGGGAAAGUUGAAAAGAACUUUGAAGAGAGAGUUCAAGAGUACGUGAAACCGUUUAGAGGCAAACGGAUGGGACCGCAAGGUUGUCCCCUGCAAUUCAACCUGUCCGAGCAGCCGUCGCUGCGUCGUCCGGAUCUAACGACCGGCGGCGUGGCGAGCGGCUGUCGGCGGGCGCACUUUGCAGGGGACGAGCGCCACGACCGGUUCCCCGGCGGUCGGAAGCCCCGCGAGAAGGUGGCUCCCCUCGGGGAGUGUUAUAGAUCGCGGAGGUGUUGGCCCGCUGGAGGACCGAGGAUCUCCCGCCGUGGUUGGGGCCCCCGGCCUCGGUCGAACGUCCGACUUGCGUGGACUGUCCUCAGUGUUCGCAGACCGCGGGCGACCGAUGGACCGGACUCUCCCCAGCCGACCCAGGGUCAGUGGCGAGUCGGUCGGAACCCUAUCCGACCCGUCUUGAAACACGGACCAAGGAGUCUAACAUGUGCGCGAGUCAUGGAGCUUUACGAAACUCGCAGGCGCAAUGAAAGUGAAGGCUUGUCUCUCGACGAGCCCAGGUAGGAUCCCCGCAAGGGGCGCACUACCGGCCCGUCUCGAUCUUAGCGUAGAUGAGGCGGAGCAAGAGCGUACACGUUGGGACCCCAAA